AUGAUGCGGUGUUUUUGUUGCC
Molecule: non-coding RNA, 22 nt
Filed under: Arabidopsis thaliana (thale cress)
Lineage: Eukaryota; Viridiplantae; Streptophyta; Magnoliopsida; Brassicales; Brassicaceae
Source: RNAcentral